RNAcentral lists this long non-coding RNA (976 nucleotides) under Homo sapiens (human). RNAcentral's name for it is "HSALNT0141274". Lineage: Eukaryota; Metazoa; Chordata; Mammalia; Primates; Hominidae. The record is from RNAcentral.
GAAGGUGUGUGAGAGCGCCCGAGAUGGCAGAACAAGAGCUACAGGCAGGCAUCAACAUUUACAUUGUAAUUCAAUAGACGCUACUACUACAAAGGAGCUUUAUUCUUCCAGCUUAAUAUGGUUGCUGCGGGAACACUGCAGGAUGAAACUGACUUUUUUUGUGGUAAUGUUUCUCCUGGUUGGGAACAACGCAAAUUAGCAAAGGCGUAAUUUAUAACCGCUGCUACCAAAGAGUGAAGUAUUUGUGGAAGUUCUGACUGGAAUCUAGCUCGUACAUAUGGAUUGUGGAAAUAAAGGAGGACGUGGAAAGCUUGCCAUAUUUUAUUUCAAGUUAAUACUAAAGCUGCCAGACUUAAUACAACUUUCUUUUAAUCUUUAUGGAUCACAUAUUUUCUGAAAAUUACAUGAUAAAACAAGGUUUGGUUUGUUCCAUGUGUCCAUUUUCAACAAUAAAUUUCAAAAUUGUAUUUUUAAAAAACAAUAUAAACACACACUUUAAAGAAAUAAUAUAUUUUAAGACAAUGCAGGUACUAUUUUAAUAUAAUAUUUUAAGAUAAUGCAAUACCUAUCAUGUUCCUCUCCUUUUUAGAGGCAGCCAUAUUCUGCUUUUAUCUGUCUCUUCUGUCAUUUACCUCCCUAUUUCUAAAUAAUUUGUACUGCCAUCUCUUGAUUUGCCAAUAGAUGUUGUGCUCUGACUACCUGUUGCUUCAGAUUAGGAUUUAGCUCUUUCAUGCCAAGCAACUUCUCCUUCCAACACAGCACUUUCACAGUUUAGGAGCUAAGUAAGUGACUAUGCCAAUAGCAAUGACAACACAGCCAAUAGUGUACUAUUCUUGUUUUCUUCCUUAUAAAACCUUGUAUCUAUUUACUUAGUUUGUUAUGCCCCAUCCUGAUAUUUUUCUACAACUGAUCUAUCAAAUGACUAUCAUGUUUAUUUUCCAAAUGAUCAAACAAUCAAUUCCAAUUUUGCCCUGAA